RNAcentral lists this ribosomal RNA (819 nucleotides) under uncultured bacterium. Its description in RNAcentral is "bacterial SSU rRNA". It matches the Rfam family "Bacterial small subunit ribosomal RNA", at positions 60 to 879 of the family's 1533-position model. The record is from RNAcentral.
AGUCGAACGAUAUCUUCCAGCUUGCUGGAAGAGAAAGUGGCGCACGGGUGCGUAACGCGUAUGCAACCUACCUUAAUCAGGGGGAUAGCCCGGAGAAAUCCGGAUUAACACCGCAUAAAAACACAGGAUAGCAUUAUCCAAUGUUCAAAUAUUUAUAGGAUUAAGAUGGGCAUGCGUGUCAUUAGCUAGUUGGCGGGGUAACGGUCCACCAAGGCGACGAUGACUAGGGGAUCUGAGAGGAUGGCCCCCCACACUGGUACUGAGACACGGACCAGACUCCUACGGGAGGCAACAGUAAGGAAUAUUGGUCAAUGGAGGCAACUCUGAACCAGCCAUGCCGCGUGCAGGAAGACUGCCCUAUGGGUUGUAAACUGCUUUUAUCCGGGAAUAAACCACAUUACGAGUAAUGUGCUGAAUGUACCGGAAGAAUAAGGAUCGGCUAACUCCGUGCCAGCAGCCGCGGUAAUACGGAGGAUCCAAGCGUUAUCCGGAUUUAUUGGGUUUAAAGGGUGCGUAGGCGGCCUGUUAAGUCAGGGGUGAAAGACGGUAGCUCAACUAUCGCAGUGCCCCUGAUACUGAUGGGCUUGAAUGGACUAGAGGUAGGCGGAAUGAGACAAGUAGCGGUGAAAUGCAUAGAUAUGUCUCAGAACACCGAUUGCGAAGGCAGCUUACUAUGGUCUUAUUGACGCUGAGGCACGAAAGCGUGGGGAUCAAACAGGAUUAGAUACCCUGGUAGUCCACGCCCUAAACGAUGAACACUCGCUGUUGGCGAUACACAGUCAGCGGCUAAGCGAAAGCGUUAAGUGUUCCACCUGGGGA